Molecule: non-coding RNA, 399 nt
Organism: Cinara cedri
Lineage: Eukaryota; Metazoa; Arthropoda; Insecta; Hemiptera; Aphididae
Source: the annotation of a GenBank genome assembly
CAAACUAAUUCACAUCUAGGAUGUGUCCUACGGGAAAAUUACGGCCGUCAGGCUUCUCGCGUUUACCCAGUUUACAGUUGGCUGUCUAGUUGUUUUAUACAUUUGAUAUGGUGCGCGUAUUAGUAAUUCGGCAAAGGAAAGGGUUUCAUAAAGACCCAGCGUGUGACCUCAUACGAUAUGUUCGAAUUAUUGGGAUUUUAUUAAAACGGUCACGCCAAUCAUUUCGCUGACGCCGCCGGUCGAUAAUAAAAGUCAACAUUUUCGUCACGUCGUGUAACACGAAACGUUUUAAAACGCGUAGCUAUUACUUACAGAUCGCUACAGCGGUAUUUGUUCUAUAUAUAUUAUUAAAUAACAUAGACUCUAUAUUUAUGGAGUGAUAUUUUUUCAUCGGUUUUU